GUCUACAGCCAUGCCAUUCUGAACAAGUCCAAUCCUGUUUGAUCUCAGAAGCUAAGCAGGGUUGGACCUGGUUAGUUCUUGGAUGGGAGACCACCUAGGAAGACCAGGUGCUAUAGGUA
Molecule: ribosomal RNA, 119 nt
Organism: Pteropus vampyrus (large flying fox)
Lineage: Eukaryota; Metazoa; Chordata; Mammalia; Chiroptera; Pteropodidae
Source: Ensembl